ACCAGACUCCUACGGGAGGCAGCAGUGGGGGAUAUUGCACAAUGGGGGAAACCCUGAUGCAGCGACGCCGCGUGAGUGAAGAAGUAUUUCGGUAUGUAAAGCUCUAUCAGCAGGGAAGAAGAUGACAGUACCUGAGUAAGAAGCCCCGGCUAACUACGUGCCAGCAGCCGCGGUAAUACGUAGGGGGCAAGCGUUAUCCGGAUUUACUGGGUGUAAAGGGAGCGUAGACGGUUAUGUAAGUCUGGAGUGAAAGCCCGGGGCCCAACCCCGGGACUGCUUUGGAAACUGUGUAACUAGGGUACAGGAGGGGCAGGCGGAAUUCCUGGUGUAGCGGUGAAAUGCGUAGAUAUCAGGAGGAACACCGGCGGCGAAGGCGGCCUGCUGGACUGAAACUGACGUUGAGGCUCGAAAGCGUGGGGAGCAAACAGGAUUAGAUACCCGAGUAAG
RNAcentral lists this ribosomal RNA (447 nucleotides) under uncultured bacterium. Its description in RNAcentral is "bacterial SSU rRNA". It matches the Rfam family "Bacterial small subunit ribosomal RNA", at positions 330 to 793 of the family's 1533-position model. The record is from RNAcentral.